GCGGAUGUAGCUCAGUUGGUAGAGCUUCAGCUUCCCAAGCUGGUUGUCGCGGGUUCGAGUCCCGUCAUCCGCUCCA
RNAcentral lists this transfer RNA (76 nucleotides) under Petrotoga sp. 9PW.55.5.1. RNAcentral describes it as "tRNA-Gly". It matches the Rfam family "tRNA". From Rfam's summary of the family: Transfer RNA (tRNA) molecules are approximately 80 nucleotides in length. Their secondary structure includes four short double-helical elements and three loops (D, anti-codon, and T loops). Lineage: Bacteria; Thermotogati; Thermotogota; Thermotogae; Petrotogales; Petrotogaceae. The record is from RNAcentral.